This 72-nucleotide transfer RNA is filed under the name Mastocarpus papillatus. Its description in RNAcentral is "tRNA-Phe". It matches the Rfam family "tRNA". From Rfam's summary of the family: Transfer RNA (tRNA) molecules are approximately 80 nucleotides in length. Lineage: Eukaryota; Rhodophyta; Florideophyceae; Gigartinales; Phyllophoraceae. The record is from RNAcentral.
GUCCAGAUAGCUCAGCGGUAGAGCAUAGGAUUGAAAAUCCUUGAGCCAUGGGUUCGAAUCCCAUUCCGGACA